This 496-nucleotide ribosomal RNA is filed under the name uncultured bacterium. Its description in RNAcentral is "partial 16S ribosomal RNA". It matches the Rfam family "Bacterial small subunit ribosomal RNA", at positions 28 to 506 of the family's 1533-position model. The record is from RNAcentral.
GAUGAACGCUGGCGGCGUGCCUAAUACAUGCAAGUCGAGCGAACAGACGAGGAGCUUGCUCCUCUGACGUUAGCGGCGGACGGGUGAGUAACACGUGGAUAACCUACCUAUAAGACUGGGAUAACUUCGGGAAACCGGAGCUAAUACCGGAUAAUAUAUUGAACCGCAUGGUUCAAUAGUGAAAGACGGUUUUGCUGUCACUUAUAGAUGGAUCCGCGCCGCAUUAGCUAGUUGGUAAGGUAACGGCUUACCAAGGCAACGAUGCGUAGCCGACCUGAGAGGGUGAUAGGCCACACAGGAACUGAGACACGGCCCAGACUCCUACGGGAGGCAGGAGGAGGGAAGCUUGCGCAAUGGGCGAAAGCCUGACGGAGCAACGCAGGGUGAGUGAUGAAGGUCUGCGGAUCGUAAAACUCUGUUAUUAGGGAAGAACAAAUGUGUAAGUAACUAUGCACGUCUGGACGGUACCUAAUCAGAAAGCCACGGCUAACUACGU